AAAAAAUGAUGACCCGUAUUUUUGGGUUGGUGUCUGAGCAAGCUGCUUGAACCCUAACCUGUCCCGCUUCAUUUCACGGCCAUCCAUCACCCUAUUUCACCUCUUCCCCAUGCCAAUAGGAUUUUUACCUAAACAACAACAUACACACUCAACGCUUUUUUUUUUUUUUUUUAAAUUUCCUCCUAUUCUUUUUUCGUUUAGUCUCUUUUUUCUAUUUAUUGAUUCAAUUAUUUGCUGGUGACAUAAGCCUCUGGUUGCUUGAUAAGUUGAGAUUUGUUGGCUUGAGGUUGAGUUCUGAAUACACAAAUAAAGUGAAAUUAAAUUAAAUAUCCAAAAAUAAAGUUUCCAAAACAAAUUUAUCCAAUUUCAUCAACAUUAAGCAAAUAUGCCCAAUAAUCAUGUAAUGACGAAACUGCCCUUCAUAAAAGAAAUUUGAAUGACGGAAAAGGAAAAGCCGAACACACGAAAUUUGCAAACCCAGCCACGCGCCUUCAGCCGUCCAUCUACCGCAACUUCCACCGGCGAUUUUCUUGACUUUUCCGGCGACUGAAAUGACCGAAAAGCUCCUACUCCUAAUGGUAAUAAUGCUUCGAAGAUCGGAGUGAAUUCAAACUUCUUCAUCUCCAUUAUCUUGAGUCUCCUUCAUCUCUAUCUUUAUUGUUAACAUUACAGUACUUAUGGGUUUGCUCAAUAUUUUUUUUCAUGUUGUAUUGAGAAUAGGAAUGGUGUAUUGUGGUGUUAUGUUUUGAUGUAGUAAUAGUGGAUGAGAAUUAUGCCUGCAAUGCUGAAAGCUGGUGCGGUGUAUUUAACUCUUUCACUUGAAAAGUUGUACCUCAAUCAUUAUAUAUGUAAUUCUAUUAUGGGUGGCAAUAAAAGUCUAUUCUUACUUGA
Molecule: long non-coding RNA, 891 nt
Organism: Mangifera indica (mango)
Lineage: Eukaryota; Viridiplantae; Streptophyta; Magnoliopsida; Sapindales; Anacardiaceae
Exons: 2
Source: RefSeq, a predicted model, not a curated record